Molecule: non-coding RNA, 355 nt
Organism: Prunus avium (sweet cherry)
Lineage: Eukaryota; Viridiplantae; Streptophyta; Magnoliopsida; Rosales; Rosaceae
Source: RefSeq, a predicted model, not a curated record
UCGUCUCCUACUAAAGAUGAGCAAAAAUGUACUUAUUGUGGUAAAAACCAUACUAUUGAUAAGUGUUGGAAACUUCAUGGACGACCUGCAUGGGCUGAUGAUUUGAUUGCCCAGAAACAUAGAAGCAGUGCUGCUCAUGUCACCACUCAAACCACUGGGGAUGAAUCAGGUGAUGUAACCACUAAGGAGGCCAAGCAAGGAUCUUCACACUCAGGAGGAGGUGGGUCGUGGUUUUAGGAGAGGGGAUUUAUGGUACUUUCAUGGUUCAAAUUCAGACAUUGUUGCACAUCAAGCUAAUAAGCAAGUUUUGGAGAAUGAGAAGAUGAUUUGGUUGUGGCAUCAACGGUUAGGACAC